Molecule: long non-coding RNA, 690 nt
Filed under: Sorghum bicolor (sorghum)
Lineage: Eukaryota; Viridiplantae; Streptophyta; Magnoliopsida; Poales; Poaceae
Description: long non-coding RNA (SBIC_LNC005167)
Source: RNAcentral
GCACUUCCCCUUAGAGAAGGUACGCCGUUACUUUACUGACCCUAACUAUAUCGUUAAAGAAUCUAAGCAGGUAAGAAAGCGACGCAACCGCAACCAGAGGAGGCAGAUCAUCAAGGACGGAUGGGCAGACUAUGAAGGAGAAGUUGUAAGAUCAGAAGACGUAGAGUUUAAACAGAAUUAUCCAGAGGAGAUUGAAGCACCGAGUCAGGUAUGGAAAAUGAAGAUAACUAUACAUGAAGAGGAGGCGCUGCAGGAAGUACCGACUACGCCACCCAAUGACCUCAGGACGAUUAAGAAAAUGGAGAGUCCCGUUCGGAGGACUUAAAAACACCGAACACCUUGCCAAGAGGCAAACUUGGUAGUUAUCCUUUCCCUUUCAAUUAUUUCAAAUAGUUUACUUAGUUAAUCAUGUUCGUAUAUCCUAGAAAGAAAAUAAGAAAAAAUGUGAAAAACUAUAAGCCCCAUGUGAGUAGACGAGUGGCAUAAAACCCAUAAGUACAUUCACUGUGGUGGCAUAAAAAUAAAAUAAAUAUUUUUCUGCUUUAUAAAAACAAAAAUAUAAAAACAGGGAGUAAUAUUUAUUAAGGAGUCUCAAGAUGAAAAAGGCUAGAUAUUUAUGCUAACACUUAAUCAGUUCCACAAGCUUUGUUGUCUAUUUGAGCUCCACAGAAUUUAAGAAUCAAGAAGACU